CGCGGCCUAUCAGCUUGUUGGUGAGGUAAUGGCUCACCAAGGCGACGACGGGUAGCCGGCCUGAGAGGGUGACCGGCCACACUGGGACUGAGACACGGCCCAGACUCCUACGGGAGGCAGCAGUGGGGAAUAUUGCACAAUGGGCGAAAGCCUGAUGCAGCGACGCCGCGUGAGGGAUGACGGCCUUCGGGUUGUAAACCUCUUUCAGCAGGGAAGAAGCCACAAGUGACGGUACCUGCAGAAGAAGCGCCGGCUAACUACGUGCCAGCAGCCGCGGUAAUACGUAGGGCGCAAGCGUUGUCCGGAAUUAUUGGGCGUAAAGAGCUCAUAGGCGGUUUGUCGCGUCUGCUGUGAAAGCCCGGGGCUUAACCCCGGGUGUGCAGUGGGUACGGGCAGACUAGAGUGCAGUAGGGGAGACUGGAAUUCCUGGUGUAGCGGUGGAAUGCGCAGAUAUCAGGAGGAACACCGAUGGCGAAGGCAGGUCUCUGGGCUGUUACUGACGCUGAGGAGCGAAAGCAUGGGGAGCGAACAGGAUUAGAUACCCUGGUAGUCCAUGCCGUAAACGUUGGGCACUAGGUGUGGGGGACAUUCCACGUUUUCCGCGCCGUAGCUAACGCAUUAAGUGCCCCGCCUGGGGAGUACGG
Molecule: ribosomal RNA, 644 nt
Filed under: uncultured bacterium
Lineage: Bacteria
Description: bacterial SSU rRNA
Rfam family: Bacterial small subunit ribosomal RNA
Source: RNAcentral